CAUGGCUUUUUUUUUUAAAUGGCAUUUAGUUAUGACGAGAGAGUGGAUUUUGACAUAUUACAGAAAGCCAGAUUUGGGAGGAAGAAGUUAAACGUUAGAAGAAUCAGCAGCGGUUUUGGCACUGCAGGUUGACUUCGACUAUCUUCUCCAUAAAAACCAAGUUAUUAACUUUAUGGAGCUGCAUGGAAGAAAGCAACACCAUUAUGUUCUCAUCACCACAGCUCCUAUUACAGUAAGAGAGAAAACAUCCUCCUAAUCUCUUCAAGUGUUCCUAGUCCAUUAUUUGACCUCUUUCACUACUCAGCACUUGUACUUUUUUUUAUGGGAAACGUGCAUGGAGUGGGAGCCUCUUCAAAGGUGAAUGACACAUUUUUGAAAGAAGAACAGCA
Molecule: long non-coding RNA, 389 nt
Organism: Mauremys reevesii (Reeves's turtle)
Lineage: Eukaryota; Metazoa; Chordata; Testudines; Geoemydidae
Exons: 4
Source: RefSeq, a predicted model, not a curated record